GCAAUGCCGCGUGUGUGAAGAAGGCCUUCGGGUUGUAAAGCACUUUUAUCAGGAGCGAAAUACUGCCGGCUAAUACCCGGCGGGGCUGACGGUACCUGAGGAAUAAGCACCGGCUAACUUCGUGCCAGCAGCCGCGGUAAUACGAAGGGUGCAAGCGUUAAUCGGAAUUACUGGGCGUAAAGCGUGCGUAGGCGGUUCUUUAAGUCUGCUGUGAAAUCCCCGGGCUCAACCUGGGAAUGGCAGUGGAUACUGGAGAGCUAGAGUGUGAUAGAGGAUGGUGGAAUUCCCGGUGUAGCGGUGAAAUGCGUAGAGAUCGGGAGGAACAUCAGUGGCGAAGGCGGCCAUCUGGAUCAACACUGACGCUGAGGCACGAAAGCGUGGGGAGCAAACAGGAUUAGAUACCCUGGUAGUCCACGCCCUAAACGAUGCGAACUGGAUGUUGGUCUCAACUCGGAGAUCAGUGUCGAAGCUAACGCGUUAAGUUCGCCGCCUGGGGAGUACGGUCGCAAGACUGAAACUCAAAGGAAUUGACGGGGGCCCGCACAAGCGGUGGAGUAUGUGGUUUAAUUCAAUGCAACGCGAAAAACCUUACCUGGCCUUGACAUGUCUGGAAUCCUGC
RNAcentral lists this ribosomal RNA (619 nucleotides) under Dyella sp. IBb345. RNAcentral's name for it is "bacterial SSU rRNA". It matches the Rfam family "Bacterial small subunit ribosomal RNA", at positions 391 to 1001 of the family's 1533-position model. The record is from RNAcentral. Lineage: Bacteria; Pseudomonadati; Pseudomonadota; Gammaproteobacteria; Lysobacterales; Rhodanobacteraceae.